UGGAAUGUUAGGAAGCACCCUUC
RNAcentral lists this non-coding RNA (23 nucleotides) under Mus musculus (house mouse). Lineage: Eukaryota; Metazoa; Chordata; Mammalia; Rodentia; Muridae. The record is from RNAcentral.